RNAcentral lists this ribosomal RNA (506 nucleotides) under uncultured bacterium. Its description in RNAcentral is "partial 16S ribosomal RNA". It matches the Rfam family "Bacterial small subunit ribosomal RNA", at positions 29 to 523 of the family's 1533-position model. The record is from RNAcentral.
AGUGAACGCUGGCGGUAGGCCUAACACAUGCAAGUCGAACGGCAGCACAGAGGAGCUUGCUCCUUGGGUGGCGAGUGGCGGACGGGUGAGGAAUACAUCGGAAUCUACUCUGUCGUGGGGGAUAACGGAUGGAAACUUACGCUACUACCGCAUACGACCUACGUGUGAAAGCAGGGGAUGUUCGGAUCUUCCGCGAUUGAAUGAGCCGAUGUCGGAUUAGGUAGUUGGCGGGGUAAAGGCCCACCAAGGAGACGAUCCGUAGCUGGUCUGCGAGGAUGAUCAGCCACACCGGAACUGAGACACGGUCCAGAAUCGUACGGGAGGCAGCAGUGGGGAAUAUUGGACAAUGGGCGCAAGCCUGAUCCAGCCAUACCGCGUGGGUGAAGAAGGCCUUCGGGUUGUAAAGCCCUUUUGUUGGGAAAGAAAUCCAUCUGGUUAAUACCCGGGUGGGAUGACGGUACCCAAAGAAUAAGCACCGGCUAACUUCGUGCCAGCAGCCGCAGUAA